RNAcentral lists this ribosomal RNA (396 nucleotides) under uncultured bacterium. RNAcentral describes it as "partial 16S ribosomal RNA". It matches the Rfam family "Bacterial small subunit ribosomal RNA", at positions 523 to 918 of the family's 1533-position model. The record is from RNAcentral.
AUACGUAGGGAGCGAGCGUUGUCCGGAAUUACUGGGUGUAAAGGGAGCGUAGGCGGGAGUGCAAGUCAGAUGUGCAAUACAUGGGCUCAACCCAUGGGAUGCAUUUGAAACUGCAUUUAUUGAGUGAAGUAUAGGGAAGAGGAAUUCCUGGUGUUGCGGUGAAAUGCGUAGAUAUCAGGAGGAACACCGGUGGCGAAGGCGGCUUACUGGGCUUUUACUGACGCUGAGGCUCGAAAGCGUGGGGAGCAAACAGGAUUAGAUACCCUGGUAGUCCACGCUGUAAACGAUGAUUACUAGGUGUGGGGGGACUGACCCCUUCCGUGCCGCAGUUAACACAAUAAGUAAUCCACCUGGGGAGUACGGCCGCAAGGUUGAAACUCAAAUGAAUUGACGGGG